AAAUUGGAUAUACUAGAAUUUCCUGGU
RNAcentral lists this non-coding RNA (27 nucleotides) under Cricetulus griseus (Chinese hamster). The record is from RNAcentral. Lineage: Eukaryota; Metazoa; Chordata; Mammalia; Rodentia; Cricetidae.